GAUGAACGCUGGCGGCGUGCCUAAUACAUGCAAGUCGAGCGAACGGACGAGAAGCUUGCUUCUCUGAUGUUAGCGGCGGACGGGUGAGUAACACGUGGAUAACCUACCUAUAGGACUGGGAUAACUUCGGGAAACCGGAGCUAAUACCGGAUAAUAUUUUGAACCGCAUGGUUCAAAAGUGAAAGACGGUCUUGCUGUCACUUAUAGAUGGAUCCGCGCUGCAUUAGCUAGUUGGUAAGGUAACGGCUUACCAAGGCAACGAUGCAUAGCCGACCUGAGAGGGUGAUCGGCCACCCUGGAACUGAGACACCGUCCAGACUACUACGGGAGGCAGCAGUAGGGAAUCUUCCGCAAUGGGCGAAAGCCUGACGGAGCAACGCCGCGUGAGUGAUGAAGGUCUUCGGAUCGUAAAACUCUGUUACUAGGGAAGAACAUAUGUGUAAGUAACUGUGCACAUCUUGACGGUACCUAAUCAGAAAGCCACGGCUAACUACGUG
RNAcentral lists this ribosomal RNA (497 nucleotides) under uncultured bacterium. Its description in RNAcentral is "partial 16S ribosomal RNA". It matches the Rfam family "Bacterial small subunit ribosomal RNA", at positions 28 to 507 of the family's 1533-position model. The record is from RNAcentral.